UUUUAGCCCUGAUAGAAGCGGCAUCCUUUUUUGAUUUUUCUUCAAAAAAGAUAUAGCGGAUAGCAGGAAAUAGC
Molecule: small RNA, 74 nt
Organism: Gillisia limnaea DSM 15749
Lineage: Bacteria; Pseudomonadati; Bacteroidota; Flavobacteriia; Flavobacteriales; Flavobacteriaceae
Rfam family: Flavo-1 RNA
Source: Rfam